This is a ribosomal RNA of 803 nucleotides. It matches the Rfam family "Bacterial small subunit ribosomal RNA", at positions 155 to 952 of the family's 1533-position model.
GACUUGGAUUAAUACCGCAUGUGAUCGAAAGAUCAAAGACGGGGACCGCAAGGCCUGUCACUUCCCGAUUGGUCCGCGGCCUAUCAGCUAGUUGGCGGGGUCAAAGCCCACCAAGGCGACGACGGGUAGCUGGUCUGAGAGGACGACCAGCCACACUGGAACUGAGACACGGUCCAGACACCUACGGGUGGCAGCAGUCGAGAAUCUUUCACAAUGGGGGAAACCCUGAUGGAGCGACGCCGCGUGGAGGAUAAGGUCUUCGGAUUGUAAACUCCUGUCAUGCGUGAACAAGGCAGCCGGGUUAAUAACCUGUGCUGAUUGAUGGUAACGCAAGAGGAAGAGACGGCUAACUCUGUGCCAGCAGCCGCGGUAAUACAGAGGUCUCAAGCGUUGUUCGGAAUCACUGGGCGUAAAGGGUGCGUAGGUGGCGUGGUAAGUCAGAUGUGAAAGCCCGGGGCUCAACCUCGGAACUGCAUCCGAUACUACCAUGCUAGAGUACUGAAGAGGUGACUAGAAUUCUAGGUGUAGCAGUGAAAUGCGUAGAUAUCUAGAGGAAUACCAAAGGCGUAGGCAGGUCACUGGGCAGUUACUGACACUGAGGCACGAAGGCCAGGGGAGCAAACGGGAUUAGAUACCCCGGUAGUCCUGGCAGUAAACGGUGCACACUUGGUGUGGGAGGAUUCGACCCCUUCCGUGCCAGAGCUAACGCGUUAAGUGUGCCGCCUGGGAAGUACGGUCGCAAGAUUAAAACUCAAAGAAAUUGACGGGGACCCGCACAAGCGGUGGAGUAUGUGGCUUAAUUC